GCGGGAUUAGCUCAGUUGGUAGAGCGCGACCUUGCCAAGGUCGAGGUCGAGAGUUCGAGUCUCUUAUCCCGCUCCA
RNAcentral lists this transfer RNA (76 nucleotides) under Pseudomonas sp. Its description in RNAcentral is "tRNA-Gly". It matches the Rfam family "tRNA". Rfam says of the family: Transfer RNA (tRNA) molecules are approximately 80 nucleotides in length. Their secondary structure includes four short double-helical elements and three loops (D, anti-codon, and T loops). The record is from RNAcentral. Lineage: Bacteria; Pseudomonadati; Pseudomonadota; Gammaproteobacteria; Pseudomonadales; Pseudomonadaceae. RNAcentral also lists the same sequence under 2 other names.